AAGUCGUAACAAGGUUUCCGUAGGUGAACCUGCGGAAGGAUCAUUAACACGUAUCCAACGUUAAACCCCCCUGUGAACCUUCAUUGUGCUCCCCCAUUCCGUUAGGACGCGGCAAUCCCUGGUAAAUCAUCGCCGAACAGUUUUGAUUCAGGGAGUCGAGGCAAGUGGCCUGGCAUUCGAAAGAAUGGCGCAGUAACGAUCGCUAGAGGCCGACAUGGCCGGCGACCGGGUCACUGGGCUCACGCCCUUUGCAUGAAAACGGGCCUGCGCUUAAUGUGCGGCCACCAAACUCGAACAACUGUUAACAAUGGAUAUCUUGGUUCUC
This 325-nucleotide unclassified non-coding RNA is filed under the name fungal sp. Its description in RNAcentral is "partial internal transcribed spacer region". The stretch from base 1 to 46 matches the Rfam family "Eukaryotic small subunit ribosomal RNA", at positions 1786 to 1831 of the family's 1831-position model. Lineage: Eukaryota; Fungi. The record is from RNAcentral.